RNAcentral lists this ribosomal RNA (253 nucleotides) under uncultured bacterium. RNAcentral describes it as "partial 16S ribosomal RNA". It matches the Rfam family "Bacterial small subunit ribosomal RNA", at positions 524 to 776 of the family's 1533-position model. The record is from RNAcentral.
GACGUAGGGCGCGAGCGUUGUCCGGAAUUAUUGGGCGUAAAGAGCUCGUAGGCGGUUUGUCGCGUCUGGUGUGAAAAUCCAGGGCUUAACCCUGGACCUGCAUCGGGUACGGGCAGACUAGAGUGCGGUAGGGGAGAUCGGAAUUCCUGGUGUAGCGGUGAAAUGCGCAGAUAUCAGGAGGAACACCGGUGGCGAAGGCGGAUCUCUGGGCCGUAACUGACGCUGAGGAGCGAAAGCAUGGGGAGCGAACAGG